Long non-coding RNA from Cyprinus carpio (common carp), 194 nucleotides. RefSeq lists it as uncharacterized. The transcript has 4 exons. The record is from RefSeq and is a predicted model, not a curated record. Lineage: Eukaryota; Metazoa; Chordata; Actinopteri; Cypriniformes; Cyprinidae.
ACCAACUCUCAGUCACAUCCUCAUUCCAGUCAUCUCUGGUCUUGGAGCUGCUCUUUUGGUUGGAUUAUAUGUUUGUUCUUCAUUGUCAAGAGAUACAAGAGGCGCAUUGCAGAUCUCGAAUCCAGAAAUGACAAUGGAAUGUGGAGUCGACUAUCAAGAAUGUCUCGCAGGUUUCGUUCAGGUGACGGCAGCAG